Molecule: ribosomal RNA, 468 nt
Filed under: uncultured bacterium
Lineage: Bacteria
Description: bacterial SSU rRNA
Rfam family: Bacterial small subunit ribosomal RNA
Source: RNAcentral
GCCAGACUCCUACGGGAGGCAGCAGUGAGGAAUAUUGGUCAAUGGCCGAGAGGCUGAACCAGCCAAGUCGCGUGAGGGAAGACGGCCCUACGGGUUGUAAACCUCUUUUGUCGGGGAGCAAAGCGAACCACGUGUGGUUCAUUGAGAGUACCCGAAGAAAAAGCAUCGGCUAACUCCGUGCCAGCAGCCGCGGUAAUACGUAGGUGACAAGCGUUGUCCGGAUUUACUGGGUGUAAAGGGCGCGUAGGCGGAUGUGCAAGUCAGUCGUGAAAUACCGGGGCUCAACCCCGGGGCUGCGAUUGAAACUGCACACCUUGAGUAUCGGAGAGGAAAGCGGAAUUCCUAGUGUAGCGGUGAAAUGCGUAGAUAUUAGGAGGAACACCAGUGGCGAAGGCGGCUUUCUGGACGACAACUGACGCUGAGGCGCGAAAGUGUGGGGAGCAAACAGGAUUAGAUACCCCCGUAAAA